UGGAACUUAAGCAUAUCAAUAAGCGGAGGAAAAGAAACCAACAGGGAUUGCCUCAGUAACGGCGAGUGAAGCGGCAACAGCUCAAAUUUGAAAUCUGGCCCUAGGCCCGAGUUGUAAUUUGCAGAGGAUGCUUUUGGCGCGGUGCCUUCCGAGUUCCCUGGAACGGGACGCCAUAGAGGGUGAGAGCCCCGUCUGGUCGGACACCAAGCCUCUGUAAAGCUCCUUCGACGAGUCGAGUAGUUUGGGAAUGCUGCUCAAAAUGGGAGGUAUAUGUCUUCUAAAGCUAAAUACCGGCCAGAGACCGAUAGCGCACAAGUAGAGUGAUCGAAAGAUGAAAAGCACUUUGGAAAGAGAGUUAAACAGCACGUGAAAUUGUUAAAAGGGAAGCGUUUAUGACCAGACUUGGGCCGGUUGAUCAUCCAGCGUUCUCGCUGGUGCACUCUGCCGGUCCAGGCCAGCAUCAGUUCGCUGCGGGGGAUAAAGGCGUCGGGAAUGUGGCUCCUCGGAGUGUUAUAGCCCUUCGCGCAAUACCCUGUGGCGGACUGAGGUUCGCGCAUUCGCAAGGAUGCUGGCGUAAUGGUCAUCAACGACCCGUCUUGAAACACGGACCAAGGAGUCGUCUUCGUAUGCGAGUGUUCGGGUGUAAAACCCCUACGCGUAAUGAAAGUGAACGCAGGUGAGAGCUUCGGCGCAUCAUCGACCGAUCCUGAUGUUCUCGGAUGGAUUUGAGUAAGAGCAUACGGGGCCGGACCCGAAAGAAGGUGAACUAUGCCUGUAUAGGGUGAAGCCAGAGGAAACUCUGGUGGAGGCUCGCAGCGGUUCUGACGUGCAAAUCGAUCGUCAAAUAUGGGCAUGGGGGCGAAAGACUAAUCGAACCUU
This 879-nucleotide ribosomal RNA is filed under the name Stachybotrys microspora. RNAcentral describes it as "eukaryotic LSU rRNA". It matches the Rfam family "Eukaryotic large subunit ribosomal RNA", at positions 29 to 943 of the family's 3401-position model. Lineage: Eukaryota; Fungi; Ascomycota; Sordariomycetes; Hypocreales; Stachybotryaceae. The record is from RNAcentral.